RNAcentral lists this transfer RNA (67 nucleotides) under Scirtes sp. 2 ACP-2013. RNAcentral's name for it is "tRNA-Gly". Lineage: Eukaryota; Metazoa; Arthropoda; Insecta; Coleoptera; Scirtidae. The record is from RNAcentral.
AAUCUAUAUAUUAUAAAAAUAUUAUAUCUAACUUCCAAUUAGAAGAUCUAAAAAAAUUAGUAUAGAU